Molecule: ribosomal RNA, 497 nt
Filed under: uncultured bacterium
Lineage: Bacteria
Description: partial 16S ribosomal RNA
Rfam family: Bacterial small subunit ribosomal RNA
Source: RNAcentral
GAUGAACGCUGGCGGCGUGCCUAAUACAUGCAAGUCGAGCGAACAGACGAUGAGCUUGCGCCUCUGACGUUAGCGGCGCACGUGUGAGUAACACGUGGAUAACCCACCUAUAAUACGGGUAUAACUUCGGGAAACCGGAGCUAAUACCGGAGAAUAUCUUGAACCGCAGGGUGCAAUAGUGAAAGACGGUGGUGCUGGCACGAAUAGAGGGAUCCCCGCCGCAUUGGCUGGUUGGUAAGUUAACGGGUUACGAAGGCAACGAGGCGUGGGCGAGCGGAUAGGGUGAUCGGCCACACUGGAGCUGAGCCGCGGUCCAGACUCCUACGGGAGGCAGCAGUAGGCAAUCUUACGCAAUGGGCGAAAGCCUGACGCAGCAACGCCGCGUGAGUGACGACGAUCUUCCGAUCGUAAUGCUCUGUUAUUAGGGAAGAACCACUGUGUAAGUAAAUAUGCCCGGCUUGACGGUAACUAAUCAGAAAGCAACGGCUAACUACGUG